RNAcentral lists this ribosomal RNA (438 nucleotides) under Bacillus thuringiensis. Its description in RNAcentral is "bacterial SSU rRNA". It matches the Rfam family "Bacterial small subunit ribosomal RNA", at positions 45 to 467 of the family's 1533-position model. Lineage: Bacteria; Bacillati; Bacillota; Bacilli; Caryophanales; Bacillaceae. The record is from RNAcentral.
UGCCAGUAGUAGUAUUGUCACGUCGAGCGAUGGAUUAGAGCUUGCUCUUAUGAAGUUAGCGGCGGACGGGUGAGUAACACGUGGGUAACCUGCCCAUAAGACUGGGAUAACUCCGGGAAACCGGGGCAAAUACCGGAUAACAUUUUGAACCGCAUGGUUCGAAAUUGAAAGGCGGCUUCGGCUGUCACUUAUGGAUGGACCCGCGUCGCAUUAGCUAGUUGGUGAGGUAACGGCUCACCAAGGCAACGAUGCGUAGCCGACCUGAGAGGGUGAUCGGCCACACUGGGACUGAGACACGGCCCAGACUCCUACGGGAGGCAGCAGUAGGGAAUCUUCCGCAAUGGACGAAAGUCUGACGGAGCAGCGCCGCGUGAGUGAUGAAGGCUUUCGGGUCAUAAAACUCUGUUGUUAGGGAAAAACAUGUGCUAGUUGAAUAAC